AUUGAACGCUGGCGGCAUGCUUUACACAUGCAAGUCGAACGGUAACAGGCCGCAAGGUGCUGACGAGUGGCGAACGGGUGCGUAAUGCAUCGGAACGUGCCCAGUCGUGGGGGAUAACUACUCGAAAGAGUAGCUAAUACCGCAUACGAUCUAUGGAUGAAAGCGGGGGACCGUAAGGCCUCGCGCGAUUGGAGCGGCCGAUGUCAGAUUAGGUAGUUGGUGGGGUAAAGGCUCACCAAGCCAACGAUCUGUAGCUGGUCUGAGAGGACGACCAGCCACACUGGGACUGAGACACGGCCCAGACUCCUACGGGAGGCAGCAGUGGGGAAUUUUGGACAAGGGGCGCAAGCCUGAUCCAGCAAUGCCGCGUGCAGGAAGAAGGCCUUCGGGUUGUAAACUGCUUUUGUACGGAACGAAACGGCUCUGGUUAAUACCCGGGGCUAAUGACGGUACCGUAAGAAUAAACACCGGCAAACUACGU
This 481-nucleotide ribosomal RNA is filed under the name uncultured bacterium. RNAcentral describes it as "partial 16S ribosomal RNA". It matches the Rfam family "Bacterial small subunit ribosomal RNA", at positions 30 to 506 of the family's 1533-position model. The record is from RNAcentral.